Tachyglossus aculeatus (Australian echidna) is the source of this 138-nucleotide small nucleolar RNA. The record is from RefSeq and is a predicted model, not a curated record. NCBI's taxonomy places the organism in Eukaryota, Metazoa, Chordata, Mammalia, Monotremata, Tachyglossidae.
CCCCUCUCAGGAUUGCACCUGGAGAGUUUCUAGUACUCUACCAGUCUUGGCUAUGGGAGGAAAGGUCAAGCAGAGGCAUAUCCAUUCCAUUCAUAGCUUGGGCAGUGGCUAGUGUGUGGAAGGCAAUCUGCUAUGAGU